This 434-nucleotide ribosomal RNA is filed under the name uncultured bacterium. RNAcentral describes it as "partial 16S ribosomal RNA". It matches the Rfam family "Bacterial small subunit ribosomal RNA", at positions 29 to 507 of the family's 1533-position model. The record is from RNAcentral.
AGCGAACGCUGGCGGCAUGCCUAACACAUGCAAGUCGAACGAACCUUUCGGGGCUAGUGGCGGACGGGUGAGUAACACGUGGGAACGUGCCUUUAGGUUCGGAAUAACUCAGGGAAACGUGUGCUAAUACCGAAUGUGCCCUUCGGGGGAAAGAUUAAUCGCCUUUAGAUCGGCCCGCGUCUGAUUAGCUAGUUGGUUGAGGUAAUGGCUCACCAAGGCGACGAUCAGUAGCUGGUCUGAGAGGAUGAUCAGCCACAUUGGGACUGAGACACGGCCCAAACUCCUACGGGAGGCAGCAGUGGGGAAUCUUGCGCAAUGGGCGAAAGCCUGACGCAGCCAUGCCGCGUGAAUGAUGAAGGUCUUAGGAUUGUAAAGUUCUUUCACCGGGGACGAUAAUGACAGUACCCGGAGAAGAAGCCCCGGCUAACUCCGUG